RNAcentral lists this transfer RNA (68 nucleotides) under Diretmus argenteus (silver spinyfin). RNAcentral describes it as "tRNA-Glu". It matches the Rfam family "tRNA". From Rfam's summary of the family: Transfer RNA (tRNA) molecules are approximately 80 nucleotides in length. Their secondary structure includes four short double-helical elements and three loops (D, anti-codon, and T loops). Lineage: Eukaryota; Metazoa; Chordata; Actinopteri; Trachichthyiformes; Diretmidae. The record is from RNAcentral.
GUUUCUGUGGUUGAAUACAACGGUGGUUUUUCAAGUCAUUGGUCUCGGUUAAAGCCCGGGCAGAAACU